RNAcentral lists this ribosomal RNA (484 nucleotides) under uncultured bacterium. RNAcentral describes it as "partial 16S ribosomal RNA". It matches the Rfam family "Bacterial small subunit ribosomal RNA", at positions 30 to 507 of the family's 1533-position model. The record is from RNAcentral.
AUUGAACGCUGGCGGCAGGCCUAACACAUGCAAGUCGAGCGGACGAAGGGAGCUUGCUCCUGGAUUCAGCGGCGGACGGGUGAGUAAUUCCUAGGAAUCUGCCUGGUAGUGGGGGAUAACGUCCGGAAACGGGCGCUAAUACCGCAUACGUCCUGAGGGUGAAAGUGGGGGAUCUUCGGACCUCACGCUAUCAGAUGAGCCUAGGUCGGAUUAGCUAGUUGGUGGGGUAAAGGCCUACCAAGGCGACGAUCCGUAACUGGUCUGAGAGGAUGAUCAGUCACACUGGAACUGAGACACGGUCCAGACUCCUACGGGAGGCAGCAGUAGGGAAUAUUGGACAAUGGGCGAAAGCCUGAUGCAGCCAUGCCGCGUGUGUGAAGAAGGUCUUCGGAUUGUAAAGCACUUUAAGUUGGGAGGAAGGGCAGUAAGUUAAUACCUUGCUGUUUUGACGUUACCAAAAGAGUAAGCACCGGCUAACUUCGUG